GAUGAACGCUGGCGGCGUGCCUAAUACAUGCAAGUCGAGCGAACGGACGAGAAGCUUGCUUUUCUGAUGUUAGCGGCGGACGGGAGAGUAACACGUGGUUAACCUACCUAUAAGACUAGGAUAACUUCGGGAAACUGGUGCUAAUACCGGAUAAUAUUUUGAACCGCAUGGUUCAAAAGUGAAAGACGGCCUUGCUGUCACUUAUAGAUGGAUCCGCGCUGCAUUAGCUAGUUGGUAAGGUAACGGCUUACCAAGGCAACGAUGCAUAGCCGACCUGAAGGGGUCGACGGCUACACUGGAACUGAGACACGGUACAGAGUCCUACGGUAGGACGCGGUAGGGAAUCUUCCGCGAUGGGGGAAAGCCGGACUGAGCAACGCCGCGUGAGUGAUGAAGGUCUUCGGAUCGUAAAACUCUGUUAGUAGGGAAGAACAUAUGUGUAAGUGACUGUGCACAUCUUGACGGUACCUAAUGAGAAAGCCACGGCUAACUACGUG
This 497-nucleotide ribosomal RNA is filed under the name uncultured bacterium. RNAcentral's name for it is "partial 16S ribosomal RNA". It matches the Rfam family "Bacterial small subunit ribosomal RNA", at positions 28 to 507 of the family's 1533-position model. The record is from RNAcentral.